Non-coding RNA from Camellia sinensis, 160 nucleotides. Lineage: Eukaryota; Viridiplantae; Streptophyta; Magnoliopsida; Ericales; Theaceae. The record is from RefSeq and is a predicted model, not a curated record.
GAGGGGUGCCUGCUGUACAGCAGGCACUGCUGUACAGCCAAAAGGGCAAAAAGAAAAGAAAAAAAAAACAAAAAUAUCUGAAGCCCCUUAUUUUUCCAUUCACGGCACAGCCUGCUGUGCUUAAAGCACAGCAGGCACCCCUUGUCCACCAUACCUAGCA